UGACGAGUGGCGGACGGGUGAGUAAUGCUUGGGGAUCUGGCUUAUGGAGGGGGAUAACGACGGGAAACUGUCGCUAAUACCGCGUAAUGUCUAAGGACUAGAGGGUGGGACUUUCGGGCCACCUGCCAUAAGAUGAGCCCAAGUGGGAUUAGGUAGUUGGUGGGGUAAAGGCCUACCAAGCCGACGAUCUCUAGCUGGUCUGAGAGGAUGACCAGCCACACUGGAACUGAGACACGGUCCAGACUCCUACGGGAGGCAGCAGUGGGGAAUAUUGCACAAUGGGGGGAACCCUGAUGCAGCCAUGCCGCGUGGAUGAAGAAGGCCUUCGGGUUGUAAAGUUCUUUCGGUGAUGAGGAAGGGUGAUGUUUUAAUAGAGCAUUACAUUGACGUUAGUCACAGAAGAAGCACCGGCUAACUCCGUGCCAGCAGCCGCGGUAAUACGGAGGGUGCGAGCGUUAAUCGGAAUGACUGGGCGUAAAGGGCACGCAGGCGGUGACUUAAGUGAGAUGUGAAAGCCCCGAGCUUAACUUGGGAAUUGCAUUUCAUACUGGGUGGCUAGAGUAUUUUAGGGAGGGGUAGAAUUCCACGUGUAGCGGUGAAAUGCGUAAAGAUGUGGAGGAAUACCG
Molecule: ribosomal RNA, 626 nt
Filed under: uncultured Actinobacillus sp.
Lineage: Bacteria; Pseudomonadati; Pseudomonadota; Gammaproteobacteria; Pasteurellales; Pasteurellaceae
Description: bacterial SSU rRNA
Rfam family: Bacterial small subunit ribosomal RNA
Source: RNAcentral